UCGCGACCCCAGGUCA
This 16-nucleotide ribosomal RNA is filed under the name Arnica montana. Its description in RNAcentral is "partial 26S ribosomal RNA". Lineage: Eukaryota; Viridiplantae; Streptophyta; Magnoliopsida; Asterales; Asteraceae. The record is from RNAcentral.